This 1688-nucleotide ribosomal RNA is filed under the name Orbilia pseudobrevistipitata. RNAcentral's name for it is "eukaryotic LSU rRNA". The stretch from base 1053 to 1688 matches the Rfam family "Eukaryotic large subunit ribosomal RNA", at positions 1 to 648 of the family's 3401-position model. The record is from RNAcentral. Lineage: Eukaryota; Fungi; Ascomycota; Orbiliomycetes; Orbiliales; Orbiliaceae.
CCUUAGAUGUUCUGGGCCGCACGCGCGCUACACUGACGGGGCCAACGAGUACUAUCCUUGGCCGAAAGGUCUGGGUAAUCUUGUUAAACCCCGUCGUGCUGGGGAUAGGGCAUUGCAAUUAUUGCCCUUCAACGAGGAAUUCCUAGUAAGCGCAAGUCAUCAGCUUGCGUUGAUUACGUCCCUGCCCUUUGUACACACCGCCCGUCGCUACUACCGAUUGAAUGGCUCAGUGAGGCCUUCGGAUUGGCUCAGGGAGAGGGGCAACCCUCACCCAGAGCCGAGAAGUUGGUCAAACUUGGUCAUUUAGAGGAAGUAAAAGUCGUAACAAGGUUUCCGUAGGUGAACCUGCGGAAGGAUCAUUAAAGUAAAGGCGUCCCGGUGGCGCACACGACACGUACGGCCGACCCCCGCGUAAAUUCUGUACACCGCCCUGGGAAGGGGAGAGGCCGGCGGACGCCAAAGGCGUUCGCCGACCCCCCCCUGCCCACGGAGGUCAGUGGCGGUGGCCGGUUGACGUAUCAACCCAAUGUGAAACCCCCAAGUUGCUUCGGCAGCUCGCCCCCCGACCGGGGGGCGGUCAGCCUGCCGACGGCACCAAACCAAAACCCAUCAGUGUAAUUUAGCAAUAAUUUCACGUCUGAGCGCGAAGUCGAAUUGACUAUAAAACUUUCAACAACGGAUCUCUUGGUUCCCGCAUCGAUGAAGAACGCAGCGAAACGCGAUAGUUAAUGUGAAUUGCAGAAUUCAGUGAAUCAUCGAGUCUUUGAACGCACAUUGCGCCUUUUGGUAUUCCGAGAGGCACGUCUGUUCGAGCGUCAGUAAAACCCUUCCGGACCGGCGGUUUUUGGACCGCCUGGCCUCGGGACCCUGGCGUGGGGAAGUUGGACCCUCACCGGUCCGUCCCCCGCUUAAACGCGGAGAAAGCUAGCGGGCACAGGCCUCACGUAUUGCGACAACUCGUAAAAUUUAUAGGUUGUUACGGCUAACAGUGGACCUUGCCCCGCCUCCUUAAAACCCACGGGGACAACCUUCGCGGUUUCCCCCCUGACUCUUGACCUCGGAUCAGAUGAGGAUACCCGCUGAACUUAAGCAUAUCAAUAAGCGGAGGAAAAGAAACCAACAGGGAUUGCCUCAGUAGCGGCGAGUGAAGCGGCAAAAGCUCAGAUUUGAAAUCCGGUGCGCUCAGCGCCCCCGAGUUGUAAUCUGGAGAGGAUGCUUCGGCGAGAACCCCGGCCAAAGUCCCUUGGAACAGGGCGUCUUAGAGGGUGAGAACCCCGUACCCGGCAGGCGGUUUUAGCCAUGUGUAGCUCCUUCGACGAGUCGAGUUGUUUGGGAAUGCAGCUCAAACUGGGUGGUAAAUUCCAUCUAAAGCUAAAUAUUGGCGGGAGACCGAUAGCGCACAAGUAGAGUGAUCGAAAGAUGAAAAGCACUUUGAAAAGAGAGUUAAAAAGUACGUGAAAUUGUUGAAAGGGAAGCGCUUGCCAUCAGAAUCGGUGCCGGUCGAUCAACGUUCCUUCUGGUUCGUGCACUCGUCCGGUUUCCGUGCCAGCAUCGGUUGGCGCGGCGGGACAAAGGCCGCGGGAAAGUGGCUCCCCUCGGGGAGUGUUAUAGCCCGCGGUGCAAUACCGCCAGCGCCGACCGAGGACCGCGCUUCGUGCAAGGAUGCUGGCCUAAUGGUUGUAAGCGAC